This 764-nucleotide ribosomal RNA is filed under the name uncultured bacterium. RNAcentral's name for it is "bacterial SSU rRNA". It matches the Rfam family "Bacterial small subunit ribosomal RNA", at positions 8 to 798 of the family's 1533-position model. The record is from RNAcentral.
AGAGUUUGAUCAUGGCUCAGGAUGAAUGCUGGCGGCGUGCCUAACACAUGCAAGUCGAGCGGCAGCGAGGGGUGCUUGCACCCUGUCGGCGAGCGGCGAACGGCUGAGUAACGCGUAGGAAUUUGCCCCAAAGUGAGGAAUAACUGCCCGAAAGGGUAGCUAAUGCCGCAUAUGGUCUUCGGAUUAAAGGAUUUAUCCGCUUUGGGAGAAGCCUGCGUUGGAUUAGGUAGUUGGUAGGGUAAUGGCCUACCAAGCCGACGAUCCAUAGCUGGUCUGAGAGGAUGAUCAGCCAGACUGGAACUGAGACACGGUCCAGACUCCUACGGGAGGCAGCAGUGAGGAAUCUUCCACAAUGGGCGAAAGCCUGAUGGAGCAACGCCGCGUGAAGGAUGAAGGCCUUCGGGUUGUAAACUUCUUUUAUGAGUGAAGAAUAUGACGGUAACUCAUGAAUAAGCACCGGCUAACUACGUGCCAGCAGCCGCGGUCAUACGUAGGGUGCGAGCAUUAUCCGGAGUGACUGGGCGUAAAGAGUUGCGUAGGCGGUUUAAUAAGUGAAUAGUGAAACCUGGUGGCUCAACCAUACAGACUGUUAUUCAAACUGUUAAACUCGAGAAUGGUAGAGGUAACUGGAAUUUCUUGUGUAGGAGUGAAAUCCGUAGAUAUAAGAAGGAACACCAAUGGCGUAGGCAGGUUACUGGGCCAUUUCUGACGCUAAGGCACGAAAGCGUGGGGAGCGAACCGGAUUAGAUACCCUGGUAGUCCAA